Molecule: ribosomal RNA, 253 nt
Filed under: uncultured bacterium
Lineage: Bacteria
Description: partial 16S ribosomal RNA
Rfam family: Bacterial small subunit ribosomal RNA
Source: RNAcentral
UACGGAGGGUGCAAGCGUUAUCCGGAUUCACUGGGUUUAAAGGGUGCGUAGGCGGGUAAGUAAGGCCGUGGUGAAAUCCUUCAGCUUAACUGGAGAACUGCCAUUGAUACUGAAUAGCUUGAGUAUAGUUGAGGUAGGCGGAAUUGACAGUGUAGCGGUGAAAUGCUUAGAUAUUGUCAAGAACACCGAUUGCGAAGGCAGCUUACUAAACUAUAACUGACGCUGAGGCACGAAAGCGUGGGUAUCAAACAGG